UAAAAACACAGGUCACAACCCAAAUGAUAUA
RNAcentral lists this non-coding RNA (31 nucleotides) under Mus musculus (house mouse). The record is from RNAcentral. Lineage: Eukaryota; Metazoa; Chordata; Mammalia; Rodentia; Muridae.